AUACAGUAUCGGCAAAACAGUCGAAAGGCUGCGGCGCAAAGCUAAAGGGCCUGUAAAAUGGCAGCCAGUUGCAUUU
Molecule: non-coding RNA, 76 nt
Filed under: Ruminococcus sp.
Lineage: Bacteria; Bacillati; Bacillota; Clostridia; Eubacteriales; Oscillospiraceae
Description: c-di-GMP sequence
Rfam family: c-di-GMP-I riboswitch aptamer
About the family: GEMM was predicted in a large-scale screen for bacterial structured RNA regulatory elements. Genes associated with GEMM are involved in a diverse array of functions, including chemotaxis regulation, signal transduction, secretion and chitin.
Source: RNAcentral